GACGAACCGAGCGAACGUUGUUCGGAAUCACUGGGCUUAAAGGGCGCGUAGGCGGGUGCUCAAGUCUGUGGUGAAAUCCUCCGGCUCAACCGGAGAACUGCCAUGGAUACUGGGUGUCUCGAGGGUGGUAGGGGUAUGCGGAACUAUCGGUGGAGCGGUGAAAUGCGUUGAUAUCGAUAGGAACUCCGGUGGCGAAGGCGGCAUACUGGACCACAUCUGACGCUGAGGCGCGAAAGCCAGGGGAGCGAACGGG
Molecule: ribosomal RNA, 253 nt
Filed under: uncultured bacterium
Lineage: Bacteria
Description: partial 16S ribosomal RNA
Rfam family: Bacterial small subunit ribosomal RNA
Source: RNAcentral